This 272-nucleotide ribosomal RNA is filed under the name Escherichia coli O121:H7 str. 2009C-3299. RNAcentral's name for it is "partial 16S ribosomal RNA". It matches the Rfam family "Bacterial small subunit ribosomal RNA", at positions 1 to 267 of the family's 1533-position model. The record is from RNAcentral. Lineage: Bacteria; Pseudomonadati; Pseudomonadota; Gammaproteobacteria; Enterobacterales; Enterobacteriaceae.
UUAAAUUGAAGAGUUUGAUCAUGGCUCAGAUUGAACGCUGGCGGCAGGCCUAACACAUGCAAGUCGAACGGUAACAGGAAGCAGCUUGCUGCUUCGCUGACGAGUGGCGGACGGGUGAGUAAUGUCUGGGAAACUGCCUGAUGGAGGGGGAUAACUACUGGAAACGGUAGCUAAUACCGCAUAACGUCGCAAGACCAAAGAGGGGGACCUUCGGGCCUCUUACCAUCGGNUGUGCCCAGAUGGGAUUAGCUAGUAGAUGGGGUAACGGCUCA